This is a long non-coding RNA of Hypanus sabinus (Atlantic stingray), 1697 nucleotides long. RefSeq lists it as uncharacterized. The record is from RefSeq and is a predicted model, not a curated record. The transcript is spliced from 3 exons. Lineage: Eukaryota; Metazoa; Chordata; Chondrichthyes; Myliobatiformes; Dasyatidae.
GGGACAAGAAAGCUGUUCAUUUCUAGUAUAAUCUAGCCGUGAUAAAGAGCUGAUGUAAGUGCAGUGCAGGAAAAUUGCCCUCUCUCAGAAUUUCUGUUUUACUCGCAGACUUGACUGCAGGGCCAAACGUCUCAACAAUCACAUCAUCAGGAUUGCCGAUGACAAACAACAAUGACACAGCCUACAGAGAGGAGGUCAAAGAGCUUGAGGCCUGGUCUCAGUUAUGGUCGAAUUGACAAUAAAAAUGACUUGACUUGACUACUUUCUGAGGAGGCUGAAGUGAGCUGGGCUUUGCAGAUCCAUAUUCACAUGAAUCUGCAGAUGAGCAGCGGAGAGCACCCUAACAAGCUGCAUCACUGCAUGGUACGGAAACUGCAAUGCAGCAACAAGAAAGCUCUACAGGAGGUAGUCAACACUGUCCAGUGCACCACUGACACCAGCCUAGCAGCUAUCAAGGACAUAUAUAAAGAAAGGUGCUCAAAAAGAGCCAGUAACAUCAUGAAAAUUCCCAACCACCCUGCUCGGCUCGCAGACUGUUUGUCCCACUCCCAUUGGGGAGGCGGCUACAUACCAUCCACACCAGGACCACCAGACUCAAGAACAGUUACUUUCCCCAGGCAGAAAGGCUGAUCAAUAUCACCUCCCACUAACUCAACCACGACUUUAUCAUUUCCUGUUAGUCAUCUUAUGUACAGCUUAGUGUCACUUUAUGGACUUACAACCAAUCUCUGUGUAGAAGCAAUCUAAUGUAUUUUUAAUUAUUGUGCUCUUUAUCUUUUGUGUUCUUUUGUAUGCAUCAGAUCCACAGUAACAAUUACUUCAUUCUCCUUUGCACUUGUGUACAGGAAAUGACGUUAAGCAAUCUUGAAUCUCCAAAGGAUGUAUGUAAAUACUAGCUCUGCAUUCUGUAUUGUUAUAGAGUCACAGAGCACGACAGCAUAGAAACAGGGUCUUUGGCCCAUCUAGUUCAUGCCGAACUAAGAAUGUAUAUCGUGUAUUGGCCUUCAAUAUAGGUUGAUUGAGUUCUAGAGCCAAGAGGUAAGUUGCAGCUCUAUAACACUCUAGGGAGACCACACGUGGAAUGUUGUGUUCAGUUCUGGUCACUUCAUUACAGAACAGAUGCGAAAGCUUCAGAGAAAUUGCUGAGAAGAUUUACCCGGAUGCCCCCUGGAUCAGAGGAUGAUUUUGAUACCUCAAAAGGGCUAUGUGGGCGGGCGGGGUGGGAUUGAUCUUGGAGUAGGUUAAAAGAUCAGCACAACAUUGUGGGCCAAAGAGCCUGAACAGUGCUGUAAUGUUCCAUGUUAAAUAUUGAGAGAGGUGUACAGGAUCAUAAGAGGCAGAGUUCAAGUAGAUAGCUAGAGACUAUUCCCUAGGGCGGAAAUGGCUAACACGAGCGGGCAUAAUCUUAAGGUGAUUGGAGGGAAGUAUGAAGGGAAGUCGGAGGUAACUAUUUUACACAGAGAGUGGUGAGCACAUUGAAAUCACUUCCAAGGGUUGAGGUAGAGGCAGAUACAUUAGAUACAAUUAAGAAACUUUUAGAUAGGCACACCAUGAUAGAAAAAUGGAGGGCCUGGAAAGAUCAAGGGUUAGAUUGAUUUUAGAGUAGAUUAAGGGGCAGCACAACAACAUGGGUGGAAGGGCUUGUACUGUGAUGUAAUAUUCUACGUUCAAACGUCUGCUGGGGUUUAUAUUUGUGU